UGAACGCUGGCGGCAGGCCUAACACAUGCACGUCGAGCGGAUGAAGGGAGCUUGCUCCUGGAUUCAGCGGCGGACGGGUGAGUAAUGCCUAGGAAUCUGCCUGGUAGUGGGGGAUAACGUCCGGAAACGGGCGCUAAUACCGCAUACGUCCUGAGGGAGAAAGUGGGGGAUCUUCGGACCUCACGCUAUCAGAUGAGCCUAGGUCGGAUUAGCUAGUUGGUGGGGUAAAGGCCUACCAAGGCGACGAUCCGUAACUGGUCUGAGAGGAUGAUCAGUCACACUGGAACUGAGACACGGUCCAGACUCCUACGGGAGGCAGCAGUGGGGAAUAUUGGACAAUGGGCGAAAGCCUGAUCCAGCCAUGCCGCGUGUGUGAAGAAGGUCUUCGGAUUGUAAAGCACUUUAAGUUGGGAGGAAGGGCAGUAAGUUAAUACCUUGCUGUUUUGACGUUACCAACAGAAUAAGCACCGGCUAACUUCGUGC
RNAcentral lists this ribosomal RNA (483 nucleotides) under uncultured bacterium. RNAcentral describes it as "partial 16S ribosomal RNA". It matches the Rfam family "Bacterial small subunit ribosomal RNA", at positions 30 to 508 of the family's 1533-position model. The record is from RNAcentral.